Molecule: long non-coding RNA, 237 nt
Organism: Hippocampus zosterae (dwarf seahorse)
Lineage: Eukaryota; Metazoa; Chordata; Actinopteri; Syngnathiformes; Syngnathidae
Exons: 2
Source: RefSeq, a predicted model, not a curated record
CCCCUGCCUACUUGCUCGGAUUCUUCACCCGAGAUGUGCAACAGAUUCCUUCAGUUUUUCAUUGAUAAGGUCUCUACAACUAGGACACCGGUCUCAAAUACCGCAUCUGACCCCUCUGUCCAUGUUCCAUGUUCAGCUGUGCUAAAUUCCUUUGAAACUUUGUCCUUGGCGCUUUUGGAGGAUGUAGUUCGCCAGACGAAGCCAUCUGGCUCCCCUUGCGACUCUCUUCCCCCGCAC